GAUGAACGCUGGCGGCGUGCCUAAUACAUGCAAGUCGAGCGAAUGGAUUAAGAGCUUGCUCUUAUGAAGUUAGCGGCGGACGGGUGAGUAACACGUGGGUAACCUGCCCAUAAGACUAGGAUAACUCCGGGAAACCGGGGCUAAUACCGGAUAACAUUUUGAACCGCAUGGUUCGAAAUUGAAAGGCGGCUUCGGCUGUCAAUUAUGGAUGGACUCGCGUCGCAUUAGCUAGUUGGUGAGGUAACGGCUCACCAAGGCAACGAUGCGUAGCCGACCUGAGAGGGAGAUCGGCCACACUGGGACUGAGACACGGCCCAGACUCCUACGGGAGGCAGCAGUAGGGAAUCUUCCGCAAUGGACGAAAGUCUGACGGAGCAACGCCGCGUGAGUGAUGAAGGCUUUCGGGUCGUAAAACUCUGUUGUUAGGGAAGAACAAGUGCUAGUUGAAUAAGCUGGCACCUUGACGGUACCUAACCAGAAAGCCACGGCUAACUACGUGCCAGCCGCCGCGGUAA
Molecule: ribosomal RNA, 515 nt
Filed under: uncultured bacterium
Lineage: Bacteria
Description: partial 16S ribosomal RNA
Rfam family: Bacterial small subunit ribosomal RNA
Source: RNAcentral